This 451-nucleotide ribosomal RNA is filed under the name uncultured bacterium. RNAcentral's name for it is "bacterial SSU rRNA". It matches the Rfam family "Bacterial small subunit ribosomal RNA", at positions 29 to 524 of the family's 1533-position model. The record is from RNAcentral.
AACGAACGCUGGCGGCAUGCCUAACACAUGCAAGUCGAACGAGACCUUCGGGUCUAGUGGCGCACGGGUGCGUAACGCGUGGGAAUCUGCCCUUGGGUUCGGAAUAACAGUUAGAAAUGACUGCUAAUACCGGAUAAUGUCUUCGGACCAAAGAUUUAUCGCCCAGGGAUGAGCCCGCGUAGGAUUAGCUAGUUGGUGAGGUAAAGGCUCACCAAGGCGACGAUCCUUAGCUGGUCUGAGAGGAUGAUCAGCCACACUGGGACUGAGACACGGCCCAGACUCCUACGGGAGGCAGCAGUGGGGAAUAUUGGACAAUGGGCGAAAGCCUGAUCCAGCAAUGCCGCGUGAGUGAUGAAGGCCUUAGGGUUGUAAAGGCUCUUUUACCCGGGAUGAUAAUGACAGUACCGGGAGAAUAAGCCCCGGCUAACUUCGUGCCAGCAGCCGCGGUAAU